GGAAUAUUGGGCAAUGGAGGAAACUCUGACCCAGCGACGCCGCGUGCGGGAUGAAGGCCUUCGGGUUGUAAACCGCUUUCAGCAGGGAAGAAGCGAAAGUGACGGUACCUGCAGAAGAAGCACCGGCUAACUAUGUGCCAGCAGCCGCGGUAAUACAUAGGGUGCAAGCGUUGUCCGGAAUUAUUGGGCGUAAAGAGCUCGUAGGUGGUUCGUCACGUCGGAUGUGAAAAUCUGGGGCUUAACCCCAGACCUGCAUUCGAUACGGUCGGACUGGAGUGUGGUAGGGGAGACUGGAAUUCCUGGUGUAGCGGUGGAAUGCGCAGAUAUCAGGAGGAACACCAAUGGCGAAGGCAGGUCUCUGGGCCAUUACUGACACUGAGGAGCGAAAGCGUGGGGAGCGAACAGGAUUAGAUACCCUGGUAGUCCACGCCGUAAACGAUGGGCACUAGUUGUGGAAACCUUCCACGGUUUCUGCGACGCAGCUAACGCAUUAAGUGCCCCGCCUGGGGAGUACGAUCGCAAGAUUAAAACUCAAAUGAAUUGACGG
RNAcentral lists this ribosomal RNA (547 nucleotides) under uncultured bacterium. RNAcentral describes it as "bacterial SSU rRNA". It matches the Rfam family "Bacterial small subunit ribosomal RNA", at positions 358 to 916 of the family's 1533-position model. The record is from RNAcentral.